This 473-nucleotide ribosomal RNA is filed under the name uncultured bacterium. RNAcentral's name for it is "bacterial SSU rRNA". It matches the Rfam family "Bacterial small subunit ribosomal RNA", at positions 355 to 825 of the family's 1533-position model. The record is from RNAcentral.
UGGGGAAUAUUGGACAAUGGGGGCAACCCUGAUCCAGCAAUGCCGCGUGUGUGAAGAAGGCCUGCGGGUUGUAAAGCACUUUUGGCAGGGAUGAAAAGCACUGGAUUAAUAACCCAGUGUGUUGACCUAACCUGCAGAAGAAGCACCGGCUAACUCUGUGCCAGCAGCCGCGGUAAUACAGGGGGGUGCGAGCGUUAAUCGGAAUUACUGGGCGUAAAGGGCGCGUAGGCGGUCGAGUAAGUCGGAUGUGAAAUCCCCGGGCUUAACCUGGGAAUUGCAUUCGAUACUGCUUGGCUAGAGUGUGGAAGAGGGAAGCGGAAUUUCCGGUGUAGCGGUGAAAUGCGUAGAUAUCGGAAGGAACACCAGUGGCGAAGGCGGCUUCCUGGUCCAACACUGACGCUGAGGCGCGAAAGCGUGGGGAGCAAACAGGAUUAGAUACCCUUGUAGUCCCUGAGCGGGCUGGCAAGGCGCAU